UGUGUCAGCUAGGGGUGCUGUAUUACGGCUGAGAUCAAACCCUUAGAACCUGAGACCGGCUAGCACCGGCGGAGGGAAGCUGUUCAUCCGAGGA
This 94-nucleotide non-coding RNA is filed under the name Acaryochloris marina. RNAcentral's name for it is "TPP sequence". It matches the Rfam family "TPP riboswitch aptamer (THI element)". Rfam says of the family: Vitamin B(1) in its active form thiamin pyrophosphate (TPP) is an essential coenzyme that is synthesised by coupling of pyrimidine and thiazole moieties in bacteria. The previously detected thiamin-regulatory element, thi box was extended, resulting in a new, highly conserved RNA secondary structure, the THI element, which is widely distributed in eubacteria and also occurs in some archaea. Analysis of operon structures identified a large number of new candidate thiamin-regulated genes, mostly transporters, in various prokaryotic organisms. RNAcentral also lists the same sequence under 1 other name. The record is from RNAcentral. Lineage: Bacteria; Bacillati; Cyanobacteriota; Cyanophyceae; Acaryochloridales; Acaryochloridaceae.